UACGGAGGAUGCGAGCGUUAUCCGGAUUUAUUGGGUUUAAAGGGUGCGUAGGCGGAGUGCCAAGUCAGCGGUAAAAAUUCGGGGCUCAACCCCGUCGUGCCGUUGAAACUGGCGCCCUUGAGUGGGCGAGAAGUAUGCGGAAUUCGUGGUGUAGCGGUGAAAUGCAUAGAUAUCACGAAGAACCCCGAUUGCGAAGGCAGCAUACCGGCUCCACACUGACGCUGAGGCACGAAAGCGUGGGUAUCGAACAGG
RNAcentral lists this ribosomal RNA (252 nucleotides) under uncultured bacterium. Its description in RNAcentral is "partial 16S ribosomal RNA". It matches the Rfam family "Bacterial small subunit ribosomal RNA", at positions 524 to 776 of the family's 1533-position model. The record is from RNAcentral.